This is an RNA transcript of Enhydra lutris kenyoni (northern sea otter), 1728 nucleotides long. It is a transcript of the gene named cortexin 3, with no coding region annotated. The record is from RefSeq and is a predicted model, not a curated record. The transcript has 2 exons. NCBI's taxonomy places the organism in Eukaryota, Metazoa, Chordata, Mammalia, Carnivora, Mustelidae.
CUUCCCUUGGUUUCCCAAAUACUAUAUUGGUGCCCUUCCUUAGAAAUCUACCCCUUAAUUAAGUUGGCCCGAAGGUCACAAACAUAAUCAAUAUGGAGGCCGGGUACUGCAAGGUGCUAAUUGACAUCCCCAAAGAGGAAUAGUGUCAACAAUCAAUAGGGAAGAAGCGAGCAUUGGUAGAUUUAUGGCUUUGAUUUUGAAAAGAUAUGGGAAUGCCCAGUGAUGUUCCCCCACCCUGUACUCCUUUCGAAUGUUAAUGAUUUCUUGAAGAUGAUUUCAGACACACUGCUAGGAUACUGCCUCUACUCACUGAAGCAGAAUCCUCUGAAGAGUUGCUGAGGCAGAACCAGAAUCAUGGCUCGCCACAAAGCAGCAGCCGUAUCGGCUGCUAACGAUGCCUCACACAGAAAGAUGAUGUUCCUUUAACUCGGGGGUUUUAAUGGGAAGUUUCUAAGCCCGAAACCACGGCUUGAGAUCUAGGGUGUGCCAUUAGCCGCUUGCAGCUGCCACUGUCUCCUGCCUCAACCCAGCCUGGUCGGGAAGAAUGGAAACUAAAGAGGCUUGUAACUACCUGUAACUGUUCCACCGGGAAAUGGAUCAAGUGUUUGUUCAGCCAGAUUCAGAUAACUCAGCAUCUCCACGGGGCAGCCACCAUGCUCUCAGCAGACUGAUGAUGGGAGAAAAGGAAACUGGGAGAGCCUAUUCUUCUGCUUCUCUGGACGAUGGAUGGAGGACAGCCUGUCCCUUCACCCCUAGUGCCCCUUGAGAACGCAUCAGCAGAUUCUAGCAUGUCUCUGGAGCAAAAAACCACUUUUGUGUUUGUGAUUUUGUUGUUCAUUUUCUUGGGCAUCCUCAUUGUCAGGUGCUUCCGGAUCCUUCUGGACCCAUAUCGGAGCAUGCCGACCUCAACCUGGGCUGAUGGACUUGAAGGGCUGGAGAAGGGGCAGUUUGACCAUGCCCUUGCUUAGCAGAGGGGAGGCAGGAUUCCCCUCCUGAAAGGGGGAAGUGUGGCAUGUCUUGGUAAGGAAUUCUCUUUAGUCAAUGUUCUCAACAAACUAAGUUUUAACAGCACCUUGUCCUAGACCUCCCUCAUUUAUUAAACAUGCUGUUCAGUUAAAAGCAUUUGAAGGAUAUUGGAGAUGAAGGUUUAUAACACUCUCCUAAAAUAGGAAGCCUUGGAUUUCCAUGUUGACUCAGUGAAUGAGUACUGCUGAACGCGUGCGAUGGUGAAAGCAAGAGCAUCAGCACUGACACAAACUUUGCCAUAAAAUGAAGCCCUCUCCCACCCAACCAGAGACUGAAGAAUGGAAAGGAUCUGAAGCAAAUCUGGUCACAGCGCCAUGAAGAGGCUCUCUUGUUCUGACUGUGUCUCUCAGUUGGCUUAUUUACAUGGGAAUCUGGGUUCUGGGCAGAGAGACUGGGUUGAGUGAACCUGGGGGAGCCUUGGGAAGCCAGGAGGUGGGGGGCGCUUAGCACAGAUGAUUCCAUCCCUGGAAAAGAUGAGUGAUGUUGAUCCCAUUUUAUUUCUCAAGUACAACUGAAUUCAGAGGCUUACGGAGAUUUGCAAACCCUACACCAGGCCAAGUACAUUCUAGGUAUUCAUAUUAAUUAGUAGUGUAGAGGUAGCUAUACAUAACCUGAAUUGACUUUCUUGACGCAAGUGAUUAAAAUAAUGGGUUGUGAGUGCAGCUAUGAGUUGUUGUUUUUUUUUUUUGUGUGUGUGUGUGU